RNAcentral lists this unclassified non-coding RNA (516 nucleotides) under Hevea brasiliensis (rubber tree). The record is from RNAcentral. Lineage: Eukaryota; Viridiplantae; Streptophyta; Magnoliopsida; Malpighiales; Euphorbiaceae.
UAUAGUCGAUCUCCACCUAGGUAUUUAUCAUGUUUUAUGGAAUCAAUAAUAAAUGCCGUGCAUAUAUAGUUUUGUGAUAAUUUAGUGAAUGUUUUGACAUUGGUCAAUGUCCAUUUCAAAACUCUGAUUGUAUUUUGUUGGCAAUUACAUUGUGUACAUCCUGUUUGAGUCUAGAUUUUGUUUUUGCUGCUUCAAGGGUAUGCGAUACUGGGUUUGUCUUUUCUAUUAUUAUUGCCCAUGCAAGGCCUUCAUAAAAAUUACUUCUUGAAACCAAAAUUGACGUCUGUUAGGAUUGAUGAACGCUAAUGUUGCAAGUUUAGGAAAGAAGUAAAAUUAGCCAUCUUAUAGCUAGUAACAUGAUUGGGGCACCCUCUGAUAUUUGCCUUUAAAUUUAGAAUUAUCAAAAUAAAUAUUCCACCCCCCCUCCCCAAAACCAAACCCCAAAUAAAUAAAUAAAUCUGGGAUUCAUUUACUCAUCUGAUAAUUAAAUGCAGAAGACACCGACACAGUAGAAGU